Molecule: non-coding RNA, 27 nt
Filed under: Homo sapiens (human)
Lineage: Eukaryota; Metazoa; Chordata; Mammalia; Primates; Hominidae
Source: RNAcentral
UACACAGUAGAUGUGGAAGGACACGGU